This 542-nucleotide ribosomal RNA is filed under the name uncultured Geobacter sp. RNAcentral's name for it is "partial 16S ribosomal RNA". It matches the Rfam family "Bacterial small subunit ribosomal RNA", at positions 8 to 527 of the family's 1533-position model. Lineage: Bacteria; Pseudomonadati; Thermodesulfobacteriota; Desulfuromonadia; Geobacterales; Geobacteraceae. The record is from RNAcentral.
AGAGUUUGAUCCUGGCUCAGAACGAACGCUGGCGGCGUGCCUAACACAUGCAAGUCGAACGGAAUUAGAGAGCUUGCUCUUUAGUUUAGUGGCGCACGGGUGAGUAACGCGUAGAUAAUCUGCCUGAUGAUCUGGGAUAACAUCUCGAAAGGGGUGCUAAUWCCSGGWAAGCCCACGGAGUCUUAGGACUUUGCGGGAAAAGGGGGGGACCUUUUGGCCUUCUGUCAUCAGAUGAGUCUGCGUACCAUUAGCUAGUUGGUAGGGUAAUGGCSUACCAMGGCUACRAUGGUUAGCUGGUCUGAGAGGAUGAUCAGCCACWYUGGAACUGAGACACGGUCCAGACUCCUACGGGAGGCAGCAGUGGGGAAUUUUGCGCAAUGGGCGAAAGCCUGACGCARCAACGCCGCGUGAGUGAUGAAGGCUUUCGGGUCGUAAAGCUCUGUCGAGGGGAAAKAAGUGUAGAGUGGCURAUAUCCRUUUUACUUGACGGUACCCCUAAAGGAAGCACCGGCUAACUCCGUGCCAGYCGCCGCGGUWAUACA